Molecule: ribosomal RNA, 1435 nt
Filed under: Mammaliicoccus sciuri
Lineage: Bacteria; Bacillati; Bacillota; Bacilli; Caryophanales; Staphylococcaceae
Description: bacterial SSU rRNA
Rfam family: Bacterial small subunit ribosomal RNA
Source: RNAcentral
UGCAAGUCGAGCGAACAGAUGAGAAGCUUGCUUCUCUGAUGUUAGCGGCGGACGGGUGAGUAACACGUGGGUAACCUACCUAUAAGACUGGGAUAACUCCGGGAAACCGGGGCUAAUACCGGAUAAUAUUUUGAACCGCAUGGUUCAAUAGUGAAAGACGGUUUCGGCUGUCACUUAUAGAUGGACCCGCGCCGUAUUAGCUAGUUGGUAAGGUAACGGCUUACCAAGGCGACGAUACGUAGCCGACCUGAGAGGGUGAUCGGCCACACUGGAACUGAGACACGGUCCAGACUCCUACGGGAGGCAGCAGUAGGGAAUCUUCCGCAAUGGGCGAAAGCCUGACGGAGCAACGCCGCGUGAGUGAUGAAGGUCUUCGGAUCGUAAAACUCUGUUGUUAGGGAAGAACAAAUUUGUUAGUAACUGAACAAGUCUUGACGGUACCUAACCAGAAAGCCACGGCUAACUACGUGCCAGCAGCCGCGGUAAUACGUAGGUGGCAAGCGUUAUCCGGAAUUAUUGGGCGUAAAGCGCGCGUAGGCGGUUUCUUAAGUCUGAUGUGAAAGCCCACGGCUCAACCGUGGAGGGUCAUUGGAAACUGGGAAACUUGAGUGCAGAAGAGGAGAGUGGAAUUCCAUGUGUAGCGGUGAAAUGCGCAGAGAUAUGGAGGAACACCAGUGGCGAAGGCGGCUCUCUGGUCUGUAACUGACGCUGAUGUGCGAAAGCGUGGGGAUCAAACAGGAUUAGAUACCCUGGUAGUCCACGCCGUAAACGAUGAGUGCUAAGUGUUAGGGGGUUUCCGCCCCUUAGUGCUGCAGCUAACGCAUUAAGCACUCCGCCUGGGGAGUACGACCGCAAGGUUGAAACUCAAAGGAAUUGACGGGGACCCGCACAAGCGGUGGAGCAUGUGGUUUAAUUCGAAGCAACGCGAAGAACCUUACCAAAUCUUGACAUCCUUUGACCGCUCUAGAGAUAGAGUCUUCCCCUUCGGGGGACAAAGUGACAGGUGGUGCAUGGUUGUCGUCAGCUCGUGUCGUGAGAUGUUGGGUUAAGUCCCGCAACGAGCGCAACCCUUAAGCUUAGUUGCCAUCAUUAAGUUGGGCACUCUAGGUUGACUGCCGGUGACAAACCGGAGGAAGGUGGGGAUGACGUCAAAUCAUCAUGCCCCUUAUGAUUUGGGCUACACACGUGCUACAAUGGAUAAUACAAAGGGCAGCGAAUCCGCGAGGCCAAGCAAAUCCCAUAAAAUUAUUCUCAGUUCGGAUUGUAGUCUGCAACUCGACUACAUGAAGCUGGAAUCGCUAGUAAUCGUAGAUCAGCAUGCUACGGUGAAUACGUUCCCGGGUCUUGUACACACCGCCCGUCACACCACGAGAGUUUGUAACACCCGAAGCCGGUGGAGUAACCUUUUAGGAGCUAGCCGUCGAAGUGACAAAAG